GUCAUGGAGUUCGUCAAAGGCGGCGAGCUUUUCGCUAAGAUCGCCAAGGGCAGAUUCAGUGAGGAUCUCAGCCGGAAAUUCUUCCAGCAGUUGAUCUCCGCCGUUGGAUUCUGUCACACGCGUGGAAUCUACCAUCGCGAUCUGAAGCCGGAGAAUCUUCUCGUCGAUGAGAAUGGAAAUCUGAAGGUCUCUGACUUUGGUCUCAGUGCCGUAACGGAACAGAUCCGCGCCGAUGGCCU
RNAcentral lists this unclassified non-coding RNA (239 nucleotides) under Hevea brasiliensis (rubber tree). Lineage: Eukaryota; Viridiplantae; Streptophyta; Magnoliopsida; Malpighiales; Euphorbiaceae. The record is from RNAcentral.